This 520-nucleotide ribosomal RNA is filed under the name uncultured Glomus. RNAcentral's name for it is "SSU rRNA". It matches the Rfam family "Eukaryotic small subunit ribosomal RNA", at positions 569 to 1092 of the family's 1831-position model. The record is from RNAcentral. Lineage: Eukaryota; Fungi; Glomeromycota; Glomeromycetes; Glomerales; Glomeraceae.
AGCAGCCGCGGUAAUUCCAGCUCCAAUAGCGUAUAUUAAAGUUGUUGCAGUUAAAAAGCUCGUAGUUGAAUUUCGGGAUCAAUACGUCGGUCGUGCUUAGGUACGUACUGGCGUAAUUGAUUUCUCCCUUCUGACGAACCAUGAUGUCAUUAACUUGGUGUCAUGGGAAAUCAGGACUGUUACUUUGAAAAAAUUAGAGUGUUUAAAGCAGGCUCACGCUUGAAUACAUUAGCAUGGAAUAAUGAAAUAGGACGUUCGAUCCUAUUUUGUUGGUUUUAGGAUCAACGUAAUGAUUAAUAGGGAUAGUUGGGGGCAUUAGUAUUCAAUUGUCAGAGGUGAAAUUCUUGGAUUUAUUGAAGACUAACUACUGCGAAAGCAUUUGCCAAGGAUGUUUUCUAUUAAUCAAGAACGAAAGUUAGGGGAUCGAAGACGAUCAGAUACCGUCGUAGUCUUAACCAUAAACUAUGCCGACUAGGGAUCGGAUGAUGUUAAUUUUUAAUGACUCAUUCGGCGCCUUAAC